CACGGCCGUUUAAGGUUUCCGCCCGU
Molecule: non-coding RNA, 26 nt
Filed under: Rattus norvegicus (Norway rat)
Lineage: Eukaryota; Metazoa; Chordata; Mammalia; Rodentia; Muridae
Source: RNAcentral